GAUGAACGCUGGCGGCGUGCCUAAUACAUGCAAGUCGAGCGAACAGAUGAGGAGCUUGCUCCUCUGACGUUAGCGGCGGACGGGUGAGUAACACGUGGAUAACCUACCUAUAAGACUGAGAUAACUUCGGGAAACCGGAGCUAAUACCAGAUAAUAUAUUGAACCGCAUGGUUCAGUAGUGAAAUACGGUUUUGCUGUCACUUCUAGAUGGAUCCGCGCGGCAUUGGCUAGUUGGUAAGGUAACGGCUUGCCAAGUCAACGAUGCGUAACCGACCGGAGAGGGGGAUCGGCCACCCUGGAAGGGAGACACGGACCCGAGUCCUAAGGGAGGCAGCAGUAGGGAAUCGUCCGCAAUGGGGGAAAGCAUGACGGAGCAACGCCGCGUGAGUGAUGAAGGUCCUCGGAUCGUAAAACUCUGUUAUUAGGGAAGAACAAAUGUGUAAGUAACUAUGCACGUCUUGACGGUACCUAAUCAGAAAGCCACGGCUAACUACGUG
This 497-nucleotide ribosomal RNA is filed under the name uncultured bacterium. Its description in RNAcentral is "partial 16S ribosomal RNA". It matches the Rfam family "Bacterial small subunit ribosomal RNA", at positions 28 to 507 of the family's 1533-position model. The record is from RNAcentral.